UGUAAAGGUUGGGGGCAUUUAUGAGUCUGAUAUCUUUGACUAUGUAUACAAUAACAUGUUUUUUUUAAUGUAAAUAUUGGACUUGUCCAGAACAGCUUAGCUGCUUUAAAAAAAAAUAAAAAGUGUUUGUCAACAUCUAUUAGCAUUACCAGAUUUCAAAGUGCCUCAAAUUGGGAAAUACAAGCUUUGUUUUAGUGGAAGCUUCACAGGGCCAUGUCCUUGAGUAUUCUGGAGGUUACUGAGUGGCAGCAGCAGAAUUGUGUGGGUUCUGAGUGUUCAUCUCCUCCCCCUUUAGGGUGAUGUGGAGUCCCCAGUGCCACCUUCCACUGGAAUGCCCCUCCAGGGGCCUAAAACCAAACCAACAGACUGAAAUCUCAGCUGAGAACCAGAUCUGUGGCUGUAUUUCCUGCUUGCACAAAUAGGUGAGUUCACCUACAGUGACUGAAAAGGAAACUUUCCCCUUCCAGCCAGCAGAAUUUUUUCCUGCAAUGUGUGCUGACCUCUAUUUCAGACAAACAACACAUAAGCUUGUUAGAUGAAUGUUGAGAGGAAAAAAUAAUAAUAAAAACACUCUCAAGGGUUUUAGGAAUAUAAUAUUGGUGGCUAAAGGAUUUCAAGUGCCAAUUAGGGGUCAUUGUAAGGUUGCAGAAAUUGGAGGAGUUUUUUUAAUCCUUGUCUUUAAGAAGCUUUUUCUGCUUGUAAUGCUAUCAUGUUGUAUAAUUCAGUGAGUGAACGUGAUAUACAUAGAAAAUUAAUGAUCAUCUUGCCUUGUUGGCUUUUUAAGCUCCCAUUUUACGUAUAUGUGUUCUGAAGAACUUUUCUAUUUCAGUGCCUUUGCUUGCUUCCUUCAGGGAGUUGCAUAAACACCACAGAAAGCUGACACCUGGGAAUCUGUGCAGUUGCCUUAAGGGCAAUUAGCUAUAAAAGGUAGGGCUAAAAGCUAAUUGCUCUGGUUUAGUUCUCAAAGUGCAGGUGAAGCUUGCUGAGAAAUGAAACGAAGGCUGGAGAAAGGCCAGUUAAAAAAUUCUCUCUCUGGACUUGGACUAGAACUUUUUAGCACUGAAAACUCCUGCCAGUUUGACAGUAAAUUUUGUGUUCUGGUGCCUGCUAGAAUGAGGACAGCAAAUGGCUUGAUGGAUGUCUGUGAACUACAUCUUACUGAAAAAGGAUGGAGAGGACAACUCUUGAUUUGCCUUACAGAAGGAUCCCCUGAGGCCAACUGUGAGGUAAGACUUGAAAAUCAUUCUCAGAGCCAUGCAACAGAUCCUCAGGCAAAAAUCUGCUUGAAUCUUUUCAAAGAUUCUUCUGGAGUCUUCCUGCAAAGUAUCACAUAGAUAGCUUGCCUGAUUCAAUACAAACCAGACAUUCUGCAAGCUGCUGAGUCACAAGGACAUGCUCAUUUCAGUAACAGCCUUUUGUAAGAAUUGAGUAUUCAUUAGUCUUCUGCAGCAGACAGACACCUAGUACAUUUGUUCUACUUUUCUGAUAGUUGUAUUUCCAUAUGUAUUUCCAUUUAUGUUAUCUGGAUUAGAAAUUAGCUGUUGACAUUAAGCAGUAAUUCAAAUUGUGCAAAUAAAGCAGCGCUUACAGAUGUUGUCCCUGGUUUG
This 1607-nucleotide long non-coding RNA is filed under the name Anas platyrhynchos platyrhynchos (common mallard). RNAcentral's name for it is "lncRNA (ENSAPLG00000022263.1)". Lineage: Eukaryota; Metazoa; Chordata; Aves; Anseriformes; Anatidae. The record is from RNAcentral.